AUACUUACCUGGCAGGGGAGAUACCAUGAUCACAAAGGUGGUUUUCCCAGGGUGAGGCUUAUCCACUGCACUCCGGAUGUGCUGACCCUUGCGAUUUCCCCAAAUGCGGGAAACUCGACUGCAUAAUUUGUGUUAAAUGAAUACAUGUUAAAGUAAAAAAAAAUAUAUAUUUAU
Molecule: small nuclear RNA, 174 nt
Filed under: Neotoma lepida (desert woodrat)
Lineage: Eukaryota; Metazoa; Chordata; Mammalia; Rodentia; Cricetidae
Description: U1 spliceosomal RNA
Rfam family: U1 spliceosomal RNA (bases 1-146)
About the family: U1 is a small nuclear RNA (snRNA) component of the spliceosome (involved in pre-mRNA splicing). Its 5' end forms complementary base pairs with the 5' splice junction, thus defining the 5' donor site of an intron. There are significant differences in sequence and secondary structure between metazoan and yeast U1 snRNAs, the latter being much longer (568 nucleotides as compared to 164 nucleotides in human).
Source: Rfam by way of RNAcentral